GCGAACAGACGAGGAGCUUGCUCCUCUGACGUUAGCGGCGGACGGGUGAGUAACACGUGGAUAACCUACCUAUAAGACUGGGAUAACUUCGGGAAACCGGAGCUAAUACCGGAUAAUAUAUUGAACCGCAUGGUUCAAUAGUGAAAGACGGUUUUGCUGUCACUUAUAGAUGGAUCCGCGUCGCAUUAGCUAGUUGGUAAGGUAACGGCUUACCAAGGCAACGAUGCGUAGCCGACCUGAGAGGGUGAUCGGCCACACUGGAACUGAGACACGGUCCAGACUCCUACGGGAGGCAGCAGUAGGGAAUCUUCCGCAAUGGGCGAAAGCCUGACGGAGCAACGCCGCGUGAGUGAUGAAGGUCUUCGGAUCGUAAAACUCUGUUAUUAGGGAAGAACAAAUGUGUAAGUAACUAUGCACGUCUUGACGGUACCUAAUCAGAAAGCCACGGCUAACUACGUGCCAGCAGCCGCGGUAAUACGUAGGUGGCAAGCGUUAUCCGGAAUUAUUGGGCGUAAAGCGCGCGUAGGCGGUUUUUUAAGUCUGAUGUGAAAGCCCACGGCUCAACCGUGGAGGGUCAUUGGAAACUGGAAAACUUGAGUGCAGAAGAGGAAAGUGGAAUUCCAUGUGUAGCGGUGAAAUGCGCAGAGAUAUGGAGGAACACCAGUGGCGAAGGCGACUU
Molecule: ribosomal RNA, 679 nt
Filed under: uncultured Staphylococcus sp.
Lineage: Bacteria; Bacillati; Bacillota; Bacilli; Caryophanales; Staphylococcaceae
Description: bacterial SSU rRNA
Rfam family: Bacterial small subunit ribosomal RNA
Source: RNAcentral